Scaptodrosophila lebanonensis is the source of this 74-nucleotide non-coding RNA. The record is from the annotation of a RefSeq genome assembly. Lineage: Eukaryota; Metazoa; Arthropoda; Insecta; Diptera; Drosophilidae.
CCUUCGAUAGCUCAGUUGGUAGAGGCGGUGGACUGUAGAUCCAUAGGUCGCUGGUUCAAAUCCGGCUCGAAGGA